Molecule: ribosomal RNA, 603 nt
Filed under: Bolbitius vitellinus
Lineage: Eukaryota; Fungi; Basidiomycota; Agaricomycetes; Agaricales; Bolbitiaceae
Also listed under: 3 other names
Description: partial large subunit ribosomal RNA
Rfam family: Eukaryotic large subunit ribosomal RNA
Source: RNAcentral
GGAUUCCCCUAGUAACUGCGAGUGAAGCGGGAAAAGCUCAAAUUUAAAAUCUGGCAGUCUUUGAUUGUCCGAGUUGUAAACUAGAGAAGUGUUAUCCGUGCUGGACCGUGUAAAAGUCUCCUGGAAUGGAGCAUCAUAGAGGGUGAGAAUCCCGUCUUUGACAUGGACUACCAGUGCUUUGUGAUGCGCUCUCAAAGAGUCGAGUUGUUUGGGAAUGCAGCUCAAAAUGGGUGGUAAAUUCCAUCUAAAGCUAAAUAUUGGCGAGAGACCGAUAGCGAACAAGUACCGUGAGGGAAAGAUGAAAAGAACUUUGGAAAGAGAGUUAAACAGUACGUGAAAUUGCUGAAAGGGAAACGCUUGAAGUCAGUCGCGUCGGCCAGGAAUCAACCUUGCUUUUGCUGGGCGUACUUUCUGGUUGACGGGUCAGCAUCAAUUUUGACUGCUGGAAAAAGUUCAAGGGAAUGUGGCAUCUUCGGAUGUGUUAUAGCCCUUGUUCGCAUACAGCAGUUGGGAUUGAGGUACUCAGCACGCCGCAAGGCCGGGUUUCGACCACGUUCGUGCUUAGGAUGCUGGCAUAAUGGCUUUAAUCGACCCGUCUUGAAA